This 497-nucleotide ribosomal RNA is filed under the name Trichoderma longibrachiatum. Its description in RNAcentral is "eukaryotic LSU rRNA". The stretch from base 182 to 335 matches the Rfam family "5.8S ribosomal RNA". Lineage: Eukaryota; Fungi; Ascomycota; Sordariomycetes; Hypocreales; Hypocreaceae. The record is from RNAcentral.
UGUUGCCUCGGCGGGAUUCUCUUGCCCCGGGCGCGUCGCAGCCCCGGAUCCCAUGGCGCCCGCCGGAGGACCAACUCCAAACUCUUUUUUUCUCUCCGUCGCGGCUCCCGUCGCGGCUCUGUUUUAUUUUUGCUCUGAGCCUUUCUCGGCGACCCUAGCGGGCGUCUCGAAAAUGAAUCAAAACUUUCAACAACGGAUCUCUUGGUUCUGGCAUCGAUCAAGAACGCAGCGAAAUGCGAUAAGUAAUGUGAAUUGCAGAAUUCAGUGAAUCAUCGAAUCUUUGAACGCACAUUGCGCCCGCCAGUAUUCUGGCGGGCAUGCCUGUCCGAGCGUCAUUUCAACCCUCGAACCCCUCCGGGGGGUCGGCGUUGGGGAUCGGCCCCUCACCGGGCCGCCCCCGAAAUACAGUGGCGGUCUCGCCGCAGCCUCUCCUGCGCAGUAAUUUGCACACUCGCACCGGGAGCGCGGCGCGGCCACAGCCGUAAAACACCCCAAAC